Molecule: ribosomal RNA, 254 nt
Filed under: uncultured bacterium
Lineage: Bacteria
Description: partial 16S ribosomal RNA
Rfam family: Bacterial small subunit ribosomal RNA
Source: RNAcentral
UACAGACGGCGCAAGCGUUAUCCGGAAUGAUUGGGCGUAAAGCGUCUGUAGGUGGUUCCCGAAGUCUACUGUCAAAUCCCAGGGCUCAACCUUGGACAGGCAGUGGAGAACUCGGGGGCUAGAGUACGGUAGGGGUAGAGGGAAUUCCCGGUGAAGCAGUGAAAUGCACAGAGAUCGGGAAGAACACCAGUGGCGAAGGCGCUCUACUAGGCCGUGACUGACACUGAGAGACGAUAGCUAGGGGAGCGAAUAGG